This 510-nucleotide ribosomal RNA is filed under the name uncultured bacterium. RNAcentral's name for it is "bacterial SSU rRNA". It matches the Rfam family "Bacterial small subunit ribosomal RNA", at positions 28 to 517 of the family's 1533-position model. The record is from RNAcentral.
GAUGAACGCUGGCGGCGUGCCUAACACAUGCAAGUCGAACGGACCUUGGGGAACAGAUUACUUCGGUAUGAAGUUCCCCGCUGGUUAGUGGCGGACGGGUGAGUAACGCGUGGGUAACCUGCCGUAUGCAGGGGGAUAACAGUUAGAAAUGACUGCUAAUACCGCAUAAGCGCACAGUAUCGCAUGAUACAGUGUGAAAAACGAUAGUGGCAUACGAUGGACCCGCGUCUGAUUAGCUAGUUGGCGGGGUAACGGCCCACCAAAGGCAACGAUCAGUAGGGGUUCUGAGAGGAAGGUCCCCCACAUUGGAACUGAGACACGGUCCAAAACUCCUACGGGAGGCAGCAGUGAGGAAUAUUGGUCAAUGGGCGAGAGCCUGAACCAGCCAAGUAGCGUGCAGGACGACGGCCCUAUGGGUUGUAAACUGCUUUUAUAAGGGAUAAAAUACGGGACUGUCCNGUUUGCAUGUACCUUAUGAAUAAGGACCGGCUAAUUCCGUGCCAGCAGCCG